This 252-nucleotide ribosomal RNA is filed under the name uncultured bacterium. Its description in RNAcentral is "partial 16S ribosomal RNA". It matches the Rfam family "Bacterial small subunit ribosomal RNA", at positions 524 to 776 of the family's 1533-position model. The record is from RNAcentral.
GACGGAGGAUGCAAGUGUUAUCCGGAAUCACUGGGCGUAAAGCGUCUGUAGGUGGUCAAAUAAGUCAACUGUUAAAUCUUGAGGCUCAACCUCAAAAUCGCAGUCGAAACUAUUCGACUAGAGUAUAGUAGGGUAAAGGGAAUUUCCAGUGGAGCGGUGAAAUGCGUAGAGAUCGGAAAGAACACCAACGGCGAAAGCACUCUGCUGGGCCGACACUGACACUGAGAGACGAAAGCUAGGGGAGCGAAUGGG